GACGAACGCUGGCGGCGUGCUUAACACAUGCAAGUCGAACGGCAACGCCCUGCUUUUGUGGGGUGCUCGAGUGGCGAACGGGUGAGUAACACGUGUGUAACCUGCCCUUGACUUUGGGAUACCUUCGGUAAACUCGGGCUCAUACCGGCUAUGAGCUCCUGCUGCUUGUUGGGGUUUGUUAAGUUUUGGCGGUUGGGGAUGGACUCGCGGCUUAUCAUCUUGUUGUUGGGGUAGUGACUUACACAGGCUUUGACGGGUAGCCGGCCUGAGAGGGUGACCAGCCACAUUGCGAAUGAGAAACGGACCAGACAGCGAAGAGAAGCAGCAGUGGGGAAGAAGGCACAAUGGGCGGAAGCCUGAGGGAGCAACGCGGCGUGCGGGAUGAGGGCCGUCGGGUUGUAGACCGCAUAAGCCUGUGACGAAGCGUGGGUGACGGUAAUAGGUGAAGAAGCACCGGCUAACUACGUG
This 468-nucleotide ribosomal RNA is filed under the name uncultured bacterium. RNAcentral describes it as "partial 16S ribosomal RNA". It matches the Rfam family "Bacterial small subunit ribosomal RNA", at positions 28 to 507 of the family's 1533-position model. The record is from RNAcentral.